This 531-nucleotide ribosomal RNA is filed under the name uncultured bacterium. RNAcentral's name for it is "bacterial SSU rRNA". It matches the Rfam family "Bacterial small subunit ribosomal RNA", at positions 979 to 1509 of the family's 1533-position model. The record is from RNAcentral.
CCUUGACAUCCAGAGAACUUAGCAGAGAUGCUUUGGUGCCUUCGGGAACUCUGAGACAGGUGCUGCAUGGCUGUCGUCAGCUCGUGUUGUGAAAUGUUGGGUUAACGUCCGCAACGAGCGCAACCCUUAUCCUUUGUUGCCAGCGGUUCGGCCGGGAACUCAAAGGAGACUGCCGGUGAUAAACCGGAGGAAGGUGGGGAUGACGUCAAGUCAUCAUGGCCCUUACGGCCAGGGCUACACACGUGCUACAACGGCGCAUACAAAGAGAAGCGACCUCGCGAGAGCAAGCGGAACCUCAUAAAGUGCGUCGUAGUCCGGAUUGGAGUCUGCAACUCGACUCCAUGAAGUCGGAAUCGCUAGUAAUCGUAGAUCAGAAUGCUACGGUGAAUACGUUCCCGGGCCUUGUACACACCGCCCGUCACACCAUGGGAGUGGGUUGCAAAAGAGGUAGGUAGCUUAACCUUCGGGAGGGCGCUUACCACUUUGUGAUUCAUGACUGGGGUGAAGUCGUAACAAGGUAAGCGUAGCGAG